Molecule: ribosomal RNA, 274 nt
Filed under: uncultured prokaryote
Description: partial 16S ribosomal RNA
Rfam family: Bacterial small subunit ribosomal RNA
Source: RNAcentral
UACGUAGGGGGCUAGCGUUAUCCGGAAUUACUGGGCGUAAAGGGUGCGUAGGUGGUUUCUUAAGUCAGAGGUGAAAGGCUACGGCUCAACCGUAGUAAGCCUUUGAAACUGGGAAACUUGAGUGCAGGAGAGGAGAGUGGAAUUCCUAGUGUAGCGGUGAAAUGCGUAGAUAUUAGGAGGAACACCAGUUGCGAAGGCGGCUCUCUGGACUGUAACUGACACUGAGGCACGAAAGCGUGGGAAGCAAACAGGAUUAGAUACCCGCGUAGUCUCU